UUUCUUAAUAUUUAGAAAUAAUAUUUUUUUUAUUUUAAUAUUAUAUCUCAUACCAAAUCAUUAUUUCAAACUAAAAUUUUGAGGGUAUACUAAAAUACAAGUGCCAAAAAAAUUGAGGGAGUAAAAAAUUUUGAGGAAAUAUAAAAAAUUAUGAGAAAUACAGAAAAGUAUAAGAAACUACCAAAAAACUUGAAGAACCACAAAAAAAAAUGAAAGAGGAAGUACUAAAAAAUUAUUAGAGAAUACUAAAAUAUACGAGGAACUAAAAAAAAACAUGCGAAACUAUAAAAAAAUAUAAGAAAGUAUCAAAAAAUCGGAAGAAGUACAAAAA
This 331-nucleotide long non-coding RNA is filed under the name Gossypium raimondii (Peruvian cotton). RNAcentral describes it as "long non-coding RNA (GRAI_LNC002813)". Lineage: Eukaryota; Viridiplantae; Streptophyta; Magnoliopsida; Malvales; Malvaceae. The record is from RNAcentral.